CUCCUUCUACUGUGUCUUCAGUCUCACCGGCAUGCAGGCCACCGAUCUGCAUUUUGGCUGAAUUUCCCCGAAAAGGUAGAUGCUCCUCUCCUCCCCUUGCCCCCACCCCUACCCCCGCCUUGGAGAAAGGGCUAAACACGGCAAUGAGCGAGCUUACCUCUCUGGUUCCAGCUACCUAACGCCCAGCCAGACAGGAGCCCACGUUUGUUCCCUAGGUCAGCAUGAUUCCGGGGGGGCUUCUAGGAGGAGGCUCUCCAUCUUGUAAUGCCAGGCUGGCGGGGAUCUCUUUUGCAGACUGACCCCUGGGCCUCAGCUUGGAGGGGCUCCAGAGAUACCGCCCUAGGAAGGGCUUCAGAGUUUGGCCCGAGGCCCAGGUCCAUCAAUAAACCCGAAGGAAGGAGCUCCCAGGGGUGGCGGUGCCAAAGCACUUGCGGGGAGGGGAGAGGUACUGCCCUGAGGGCCCGGGGCCCCAGACUGGCCAUGGGGUGGGGGGUGGGGUUGUCACAAAGAGAGAAACUGGGCAGCAGCUCUAGCAGAUGUUUACAGAACGAGAAGCGGACAGAGGAAAAACCGGGAAAUGGGGGCCUGAAGCAUCCGCCUUCUCAGUCCGUGAGAGCUGCGGUCUGGACCCCGGACCUACAGCUGGGAGCCUUGGAGGCUGGCCGGUCAAACUCCCCUUUUACAGACGAUGAAACUGAGGCCGGGGGAUCAGAGGGACCGGUCCAGGCGACGGAUCCUAGCGUAUCCAAUCAGAGGCAGAGCUGACGCUGACGUGAGGAGGGGGCGGGGCUCUCGGCGGCCUUGUUAGUGGGAACCGGUGGACUGGCCUGAGGCGCUCGAGCUCGCCUACUUCGCCCUUUGGGCCGCGGCUGCCCCGGCGCUCUCCGGGCGAGCGCGGGGCAGGGGCAGGGCCAGGCUCUCGGCCCACGCGCUGGUCCCAGACAUCUCAACGGCCCCAAGCGCUGCCGUCCCGGGGCGGAGCUCAGGUGAGUGCGGAGGGCUCGGGAGGCGGGGGCCUGGAGGGAGGGUCGGGGGAUCGGCGGGGCGGGGCGGUUGGAGCGCGCGCGUGGUGGGCGCACCUGCUUCGGGGGGAGGGUCGGUCGCCUGUGCGCGUGCGCGGCGCCGGGGGCGGGGCGCCGGUGUUCGUGCGC
RNAcentral lists this long non-coding RNA (1151 nucleotides) under Monodelphis domestica (gray short-tailed opossum). RNAcentral's name for it is "lncRNA (ENSMODG00000048778.1)". Lineage: Eukaryota; Metazoa; Chordata; Mammalia; Didelphimorphia; Didelphidae. The record is from RNAcentral.